GAGGGUAUAGCUCAGUGGUACAAUGUAUGCUUGGCAUGCAGGAGGUCCUGGGUUCAAUCCCCAGUGCCCCCA
This 72-nucleotide transfer RNA is filed under the name Camelus bactrianus (Bactrian camel). It matches the Rfam family "tRNA". From Rfam's summary of the family: Transfer RNA (tRNA) molecules are approximately 80 nucleotides in length. The record is from Rfam by way of RNAcentral. Lineage: Eukaryota; Metazoa; Chordata; Mammalia; Artiodactyla; Camelidae. RNAcentral also lists the same sequence under 3 other names.